RNAcentral lists this unclassified non-coding RNA (174 nucleotides) under uncultured Sebacina. Its description in RNAcentral is "sequence contains ITS1". Lineage: Eukaryota; Fungi; Basidiomycota; Agaricomycetes; Sebacinales; Sebacinaceae. The record is from RNAcentral.
GUGAUUAAGAAUGGUUGUCUUCUGUGCUGGCUCCGCAAGUGCACGGAGGCGACUUUCAUCCAACACCCUUGUGAACCUUUGGCCUCUUGCUGGCUUCGGCUGGCUGAGGAUUUACAUACAAACUGAAAUUUUUUCUGAACAAUUAAACAAAUGAUUUUAAUAAUCUGUUUAAAA